Anopheles arabiensis is the source of this 720-nucleotide long non-coding RNA. RefSeq lists it as uncharacterized. The transcript is spliced from 4 exons. The record is from RefSeq and is a predicted model, not a curated record. NCBI's taxonomy places the organism in Eukaryota, Metazoa, Arthropoda, Insecta, Diptera, Culicidae.
AGCUGCCGGGGCGUUGUUUUUUUUCUGCAAUGGAGGUUUCUACGCCGUUCUCGCAGCCGCAUCGUCGUACCCGCUGUGCGAGCAUGUUAGGGUCCCGCUUGUUCCCCCAACCAACUCCCCCGAAAUCGCUCGGGAUGAUCGAUGCACGCGAACAAAACGAUUGACGCUGUCAGAAGCGAACUGUCAAAGUCGUUUGUUUACGUGUUUGUUCCAGAGUGCAAAUGGCGGUGCAGCGGAGUGCGUUUCGUAAAAGGUUCUAGCUUUCAUCGAGUCAGCACUGAAACAGGACAGGACAGAUUCCUUCACCGAGAGCGAGAAUACGGUCGGCAUUGGCGGGCCCCCGGGGGCAUGAGUACAGCGCAAGGCAUAGAAAUGCCCAUCGGCAGACAGAGAAGUAGAGGAAGGUGGUGGAAAACAAACAAUCAAACGCCUGCUGGUAGAUUCCUGCACGAGCGAAAUACCUGCGACUACUGACCUGCGAACGAAUUCUUAACCCACGCCACGCAUGGAACUUCAGGGCAAUGAGGAAAGGCUACGCAAAUCGAGGAAAAAGGAUCAUUUAAAAUGGUGAUCGUUGCUGAAGAAAUCGUCCCAGAAAAGAAUGUGAAGCGCGAGGAAAGCAAAACUCAUCAAACAGCAACGGGCAACACAGAACAGAACGUUGAAAUAAAAAUAAAAAUUAAAUAAAUCCAAACCCGAUGCUUGGGAUGUACGCGCACA